AACGAACGCUGGCGGCAUGCCUAACACAUGCAAGUCGAACGAGAUCUUCGGGUCUAGUGGCGCACGGGUGCGUAGCGCGUGGGAAUCUGCCCUUUGGUUCGGAAUAACAGUUGGAAACGACUGCUAAUACCGGAUGAUGACGAAAGUCCAAAGAUUUAUCGCCAGAGGAUGAGCCCGCGUGGGAUUAGCUAGUUGGUGUGGUAAAGGCGCACCAAGGCGACGAUCCUUAGCUGGUCUGAGAGGAUGAUCAGCCACACUGGGACUGAGACACGGCCCAGACUCCUACGGGAGGCAGCAGUGGGGAAUAUUGGACAAUGGGCGAAAGCCUGAUCCAGCAAUGCCGCGUGAGUGAUGAAGGCCUUAGGGUUGUAAAGCUCUUUUACCCGGGAUGAUAAUGACAGUACCGGGAGAAUAAGCUCCGGCUAACUCCGUGCCAGCCGCCGCGGUAA
This 449-nucleotide ribosomal RNA is filed under the name uncultured bacterium. Its description in RNAcentral is "partial 16S ribosomal RNA". It matches the Rfam family "Bacterial small subunit ribosomal RNA", at positions 29 to 523 of the family's 1533-position model. The record is from RNAcentral.